This 387-nucleotide ribosomal RNA is filed under the name uncultured bacterium. RNAcentral describes it as "bacterial SSU rRNA". It matches the Rfam family "Bacterial small subunit ribosomal RNA", at positions 29 to 418 of the family's 1533-position model. The record is from RNAcentral.
AUUGAACGCUGGCGGCAUGCCUUACACAUGCAAGUCGAACGGUAACGCGGGGCAACCUGGCGACGAGUGGCGAACGGGUGAGUAAUGCAUCGGAACGUGCCCAGUAGUGGGGGAUAGCCCGGCGAAAGCCGGAUUAAUACCGCAUACGACCUACGGGUGAAAGCGGGGGACCGUAAGGCCUCGCGCUAUUGGAGCGGCCGAUGUCGGAUUAGGUAGUUGGUGGGGUAAAGGCCUACCAAGCCUUCGAUCUGUAGCUGGUCUGAGAGGACGACCAGCCACACUGGGGCUGAGACACGGCCCAGACUCCUACGGGAGGCAGCAGUGGGGAAUUUUGGACAAUGGGCGGCAAGCCUGAUCCAGCAAUGCCGCGUGUGUGAAGAAGGCCUC